This 1197-nucleotide long non-coding RNA is filed under the name Struthio camelus australis. RNAcentral's name for it is "lncRNA (ENSSCUG00000003135.1)". Lineage: Eukaryota; Metazoa; Chordata; Aves; Struthioniformes; Struthionidae. The record is from RNAcentral.
AUGAAAGAGGAUGAAAAUGCUAAGCAGCAGUCUAAGCCAGAGGAAGUAUUUCCAUGGGACUAUCAGGCGGGGAGUUCGAAGAUGUCACCGUUUAGGAGUAGAUGUGGCUCCACAAAGAGGUCAAGAAACUCUUCCACUGUGAAACUUGAAAUAAAACUUCAAGAAUCUGAUGAUGAAUAUGAUCUUGUCAUUGAUGUGCCUCCACUCACUGUUGAUAAAAAGCCAAGAAUAACUAGGAACUGUAAAAACUGUAAUAAGGAAGAAAGACUGUGUGCUGCAGUAUGUGCAGAAAAACUGCAUGCUAGGAACGUAGCAAACAGCCCUUCUAAGUGUACAGUAGAAAAAUCAGAGGAAAUAGUCACUUUACAGAAGAAUAGCAGAGGUUUAAAUAAGUCUAAAAAAGUAGAUGAUGUUUCUCCAAAAAAUAAAACACAUUUGCCUAAUGUGAACACUGAAAUACCAAAGGUUUCCGAUAAUCUUGGGGAGCAAAGAAAUAUUCUUUCUUGUUCAAAGGAAAAACAUAUGCCUUCAGCUAUUUCUGUUGAGGCACAUAUGCAGAAGGAAAUUCUGAAACAAGAGAAUGCAGAAAGUAGCACGGUGGCUGAAGCAUCUCUUCAGGGACAUAGCACUAAUGAAAACUGCCUGACUAGCAAACGAGGAGCACAGUCUGUCUUGAACACUGGCUACUCAUCAAACAAUGAAGCUGUGUUAGAAGGAAGUCAUAAGGAAAUAACAGUAAAUACAGACAAAAUUCAGAGCACAGAAGAAAAUAAAGGUAGUGAUGUUCUAGAAGAUAAGUACCCUCAUCCGACUUAUUACUUAGCUGUGGGCAAGGAGGCUUGCCAUAAUACAGGUCUGAUCAAAAACAGUAAUAAUAGUUCUAUUGAAACUGCAUGUGCAAACAACAAAGACAGUGAAAUGGCUGUAUUUAAUUCAUCUUCUGAGAACACGGAAUCUAGUGCGGAGGAUACAGAGCUCUCAGAGUCAGAUGAUCCUAUAGAAGAGUGUCGGAGAAUUUUCUACGAGUUUGAAAGAGAAGCACAAAAGAAAGAAGGUGAUAAGCAGGUAUUUUGUUUCCCUUUUUCUGCUCGCUUUUUUGUAAGCAUACGAGGAAAGGAAGCGAUGUGUAGUCAAGUUCCGGUACUCUGUCCAAAAUAUGUGUUAGUAAAUGUUAAAUAUUUGAACCUUCACUACUAA